Long non-coding RNA from Aethalodelphis obliquidens (Pacific white-sided dolphin), 1538 nucleotides. RefSeq lists it as uncharacterized. The record is from RefSeq and is a predicted model, not a curated record. NCBI's taxonomy places the organism in Eukaryota, Metazoa, Chordata, Mammalia, Artiodactyla, Delphinidae. The transcript has 4 exons.
AACUCCCACUCCAUCCCUCCCCCAAUCCUCUCCCCCUUGGCAACCACAAGUCUGUUCUCUAUGUACUCAUGGAAUAAUUUGACUUGGUCAGUAUGGGUGGUCCCAUGCUGGGCACUGAGAACAAGAAGGUGAAUAGCACUUGGUUUUUGCUUUUGAAAAAUUUACUGAAGAGUAGGGAUAAUUAAUGUGAAAAGAAAAGAAAUCAAUAUGAUAUAUGAAAGAAAUCAAUAUGAUAUUUCAUAUAUAUAUGAAAUCAAUAUAUGAUAUGACAAGCUUCAUAAAGGUAGAUAAGCAAGUAACUGUGAGAUACAAAGAUGCUACUGUCUUUUUCUUUUUAAAAAGAAUUCAGAGUCUAACAUAUUAACAUAAUCUGCAUAAUUAUGUUUAAAGAACAUACAAUCAUCCAUAAUGUAAUAUACUGCAGUUGGCCAGGCUGUUCUCUAAUGGGAACAGAAGUGUUGGGUAUAUGGGAGCUCUUCCCACUUUUCAGGGAAGAAGACAUUUCCACAAGUUUCCUUGCGGUCAGCAGGCAAGAGCAGGUCAAGGAGGUUGGACGACUUCCUCUGCAGGCGGAAGAGCGCUCCAGCCUCCCAGCUCUGCAAUUGCAGACCAUGCAUUUGCUGUUCCGAGCCCAUCAGUUGCAAAUCAGUUCUCCUAAAAGGAGACGUAUGGGAUGGCCCGAGCUCAGUUUCAUGAAGGAAGAGGUCAAUCAGAUUCUCACCUAAGAGCUCAACUAAUUUGUCUCAUUUCUGACUUACAGCCUCCCCAAGCCUCCUCUCGGAAGUACCACCUAUCACACCAAUUUUCGUAAUUGCAGGACUCACCGUGCCCUUCUCCUCACUGAGAACCGUGCCCGUCCUUUCUGACCAGGAUGCUCAGCCUGUCUCUGCUGCCCACUCAGCCACGCGGCCCAGCUGACUCCCGCUCGUCCUUCACGUUGUGGCUGAAAUUUCAGAUCCUGCAGGGUGCGGUUUCUGGACCCGCAGGCUCUGGUGCCCCUGCCCGCACUUCUGUGAAGCACUGAACACUUCUAUCACUCACCCUUGGGAAAGCCGACUGCCGUGUCCUGAGGCAACCUUGCUGAGAGGUCCAUGUGGCAAAGGACUGAGGCCUGCCAAAAACCACAUGAAUGACCUUAAAAGAAGAUUCCCACCUCACUCCAGGUCAGGCAUUCAGAUGAGAUCACAGCCUCAGCCAAUAGCUUGACACAGCCUCAUGAGAGACUUUGAGCCAGAGUUGCCUAGGAGCUGGUGAGCCUGGAAGCUUAUUUAGGAAGAGGAAAUGAAACUGAAAAGACACAGUAAGAUUCCUCUUUUUCUUGGAAGCAAGGCACGAUAUGAAUAAUUCUCAUGCUGUCCAAUUAACUGCCUCAAGUACAAAUAGAAAAAAAAAAAUACACACUUGGUUAUUUGGAAGAAAUUGAAGAAAAAGCGAAGAACGGGAUGGUAGUUUCAACAAUAAAGCCCUAUACAAAUAACUUCCUUUCGGAUUUAAGGCUUGUCUCCCGCAGAAAAAGCAAUGCUCAUGAAACAGGGUGA